GUGCCAGCAGCCGCGGUAAUACGUAGGCAGCGAGCGUUGUUCGGAGUUACUGGGCGUAAAGGGUGUGUAGGCGGUUCGGUAAGUCUGGUGUGAAAUCUCCCGGCUCAACUGGGAGGGUGCGCCGGAAACUGCCAAACUAGAGUGCGGGAGAGGAAAGUGGAAUUCCUGGUGUAGCGGUGAAAUGCGUAGAUAUCAGGAGGAACACCGGUGGUGUAGACGGCUUUCUGGACCGUAACUGACGCUGAAACACGAAAGCGUGGGUAGCAAACAGGAUUAGAUACCCUGGUAGUCC
This 292-nucleotide ribosomal RNA is filed under the name uncultured bacterium. RNAcentral's name for it is "partial 16S ribosomal RNA". It matches the Rfam family "Bacterial small subunit ribosomal RNA", at positions 505 to 796 of the family's 1533-position model. The record is from RNAcentral.